GAUGAAUACUAGGUGUGGGGGUUUCAACACCUCCGUGCCGCCGCUAACGCAUUAAGUAUUCCGCCUGGGGAGUACGGUCGCAAGAUUAAAACUCAAAGGAAUUGACGGGGACCCGCACAAGUAGCGGAGCAUGUGGUUUAAUUCGAAGCAACGCGAAGAACCUUACCUACACUUGACAUCCCUUGCAUUACUCUUAAUCGAGGAAAUCCCUUCGGGGACAAGGUGACAGGUGGUGCAUGGCUGUCGUCAG
Molecule: ribosomal RNA, 250 nt
Filed under: uncultured bacterium
Lineage: Bacteria
Description: partial 16S ribosomal RNA
Rfam family: Bacterial small subunit ribosomal RNA
Source: RNAcentral